CCACUUGAAGAUGAGGAGAUUAUUACUUAUCUCCUUGCAGGUCUGGACAGCGACUACGACCCCCUGGUCGAGGUGGUGACGGCGCGUACGACGCCGAUGCCGCUGCGGGAUCUCUACUCCCAGCUUCUUAGCACCGAGU
Lolium perenne is the source of this 139-nucleotide small nucleolar RNA. RefSeq annotates it as small nucleolar RNA Z247. The record is from RefSeq and is a predicted model, not a curated record. Lineage: Eukaryota; Viridiplantae; Streptophyta; Magnoliopsida; Poales; Poaceae.